ACUAGUAAUCGCAGAUCAGAAUGCUGCGGUGAAUGCGUUCCCGGGUCUUGUACACACCGCCCGUCACACCACGGAAGUUGGGGGCGCCCGAAGCCACUUAGCUAACCCAUUUGGGAAGCGAGUGUCGAAGGUGAAAUCAAUAACUGGGGUGAAGUCGUAACAAGGUACC
RNAcentral lists this ribosomal RNA (169 nucleotides) under uncultured bacterium. RNAcentral describes it as "partial 16S ribosomal RNA". It matches the Rfam family "Bacterial small subunit ribosomal RNA", at positions 1334 to 1500 of the family's 1533-position model. The record is from RNAcentral.